GGAAUAUAAAAUCCUGAAGCUUUGCCUGUGUGCUUUCUUUCCUCCUUUCUGCAAAAAGCUAUUCUAGACGAGGAACACUCACUAAGUGAGAAAGAGACAGAAAAAAGAAGAAGAAGAAGAAAAAAGGAUGAACCAUGCGGGUGAAGAAGGGGAAACAGUUCUACAGGCGCUACACAGCCACCUAGAAGUGUUGUAGUGAGCACCUUAUGUCCCUGCCAGAAAACCCACAAACAAGAUUAUGUGAUCAUGUGAGAACAGGAACUGCUGAUAUUGCUGCAAAGAUGGAUGUUAGAGAAACCUAGAUGAUACAAUAAGUAAUGUAUUACAUCUUGCACACAAGAGGAGCGGGUUUGAAGCUGCCUGUAUAGAGAUUUCUGUUUUCAUAUUAAAAUAAAUAACCUUUCUGAUGUGUUAUUUUGUUACACAGUUAAGUCGAUCAAUACAUUUAAUGUGUGAUUUACAUUUUGGAUGUAAUUUCUGAUUCUGUUUUGAAUUUUUUUAUUAUUUUUUAAAAAUUAACCGUACAUUGCUCAAUACAAU
Molecule: long non-coding RNA, 540 nt
Organism: Ictalurus punctatus (channel catfish)
Lineage: Eukaryota; Metazoa; Chordata; Actinopteri; Siluriformes; Ictaluridae
Exons: 3
Source: RefSeq, a predicted model, not a curated record